GAUGAAGAACGUAGCGAAAUGCGAUACUUGGUGUGAAUUGCAGAAUCCCGUGAACCAUCGAGUCUUUGAACGCAAGUUGCGCCCGAAGCCAUUAGGCCGAGGGCACGCCUGCCUGGGCGUCACACGUCGUUGCCCCCCCGUCUAAUCCUUCGGGAUUGCGGGGGGCGGAUGAUGGCCUCCCGUGCGCCUCGUCGCGCGGUUGGCAUAAAUGCCAAGUCCUCGGCGACGCACGCCACGACAAUCGGUGGUUGCGAAACCUCGGUUGCCCGUCGUGUGCGGUCGUCGCGCAUCGAGGGCUCGAAAAAAUUGCCGGGCUCCGGCUCGACUUUCAACGCGACCCCAGGUCAGGCGGGGUUACCCGCUGAAUUUAAGCAUAUCAAUAAGCGGAGGA
This 391-nucleotide unclassified non-coding RNA is filed under the name soil metagenome. Its description in RNAcentral is "partial contains 5.8S ribosomal RNA, internal transcribed spacer 2, and large subunit ribosomal RNA". The stretch from base 1 to 122 matches the Rfam family "5.8S ribosomal RNA", at positions 35 to 154 of the family's 154-position model. The record is from RNAcentral.